RNAcentral lists this ribosomal RNA (468 nucleotides) under uncultured bacterium. RNAcentral's name for it is "partial 16S ribosomal RNA". It matches the Rfam family "Bacterial small subunit ribosomal RNA", at positions 28 to 507 of the family's 1533-position model. The record is from RNAcentral.
GACGAACGCUGGCGGCGUGCUUAACACAUGCAAGUCGAACGGAAAGGCCCUGCUUUUGUGUGGUGCUCGAGUGGCGAAGGGGUGAGUAACACAUGAGUAACCUGCCCUUGACUUGGUGAUAACUUCAGGAGACUGGGGCUAUUACCGCCUAGGAGCUCCUGCUUCUUGGUGGGGGUUGGAAAGAUUCGGCGGUUGGAGAUGUACUGGCGGCUUAUCAGCUUGUUGGUUGGGUAGUUGCUUACCAAGGCUUUGACGGGUAGCCCGCCUGGAAGGGUAGACAGGCACCUGACGCCUGAGAUACGGCGCAGACUGGUAUGGGAGGCAACGGUGGAGAGUAUUACACAGUGGGGGGGCGCGUGAUGCGAAAGCGCAGCGUGCGGAAAGAAGGGCUUGUGGUUGUGAACCGCUUUAGCUUGAGACGAAGCGUGAGUGACGGUACCGGGUAAAUAAGCACCGGCUAACUACGUG